RNAcentral lists this ribosomal RNA (253 nucleotides) under uncultured bacterium. RNAcentral describes it as "partial 16S ribosomal RNA". It matches the Rfam family "Bacterial small subunit ribosomal RNA", at positions 524 to 776 of the family's 1533-position model. The record is from RNAcentral.
UACGGAGGGGGUUAGCGUUGUUCGGAAUUACUGGGCGUAAAGCGCGCGUAGGCGGAUUAGAAAGUUGGGGGUGGAAUCCCGGGGCUCAACCCCGGAACUGCCUCCAAAACUACUAGUCUAGAGUUCGAGAGAGGUGAGUGGAAUUCCGAGUGUAGAGGUGAAAUUCGUAGAUAUUCGGAGGAACACCAGUGGCGAAGGCGGCUCACUGGCUCGAUACUGACGCUGAGGUGCGAAAGUGUGGGGAGCAAACAGG